AUACAGUUUCUCUUUUCCAGAGGAAGUUCAACAUCACACUGGACCACAAAUCCCACAUUUUUCAGAAUCUCAAUGGAGCCAUAGAGGAAGUGGUCCUGAAGUUUGAGAAAUCCAGAGUCAGAGCUCGGAAUGUGGCCUAUGACACACUUCCUGUCGUUAUCCAUGGCAACGGCCCGACUAAGCUCCAGCUGAAUUAUCUGGGUAACUAUGCACCGUCGGCGUGGACGUAUGAACACGGCUGUGGGAUCUGUGACGA
Sinocyclocheilus grahami is the source of this 256-nucleotide long non-coding RNA. RefSeq lists it as uncharacterized. The record is from RefSeq and is a predicted model, not a curated record. NCBI's taxonomy places the organism in Eukaryota, Metazoa, Chordata, Actinopteri, Cypriniformes, Cyprinidae. The transcript has 3 exons.